AGAGGACCGGCUCGAGCGCGCACGCCAUCGCCAAGUACAUGGAGGAGAAGCACGGGGCGUCGCUGCCGGCCAACUACAAGAAGAUGCUCUCCAUCCAGCUGCGCGGGUUCGCUUCCAAGGGCAAGCUCGUCAAGGUUAAGGCCUCCUACAAGCUCUCCGACGCCGCCAAGGACUCGCCCAAGGCCAAGCCUGCCGCCCCCGCCCCCAAGGCAGCAGCGCCGAAGCCAGCGAAGGACGCCGCCAAACCCAAGAAGGACGCCGCCGCUGCCAAACCCAAGAAGGCCCCCGCCGCUGGCACCAAGCGCAAGGCGCCGGAGAAGAAGGUGGUCGCCAAGCCCAAGAAGUCUCCGGCGGCGAAGGCGAAGGCCAAGCCCAAGACCGUCCGGUCGCCGGCCGCGAAGAAGACCCGCAAGGCACCUGCAGCUUGAGUUGGGAGUUUGGUUGAUAGCUAUGUAGGUCCCCUCUUGGUUGAAAUGGUUGGUGUUUAGGAUCUGUACAAAGGCUGCCUCGGCUAUGUCUCCCUAUUUAGAUAGUUCUCUUGAGUAGGCGAAGUUCUAUGUAUCCCUUGAUG
Molecule: unclassified non-coding RNA, 571 nt
Filed under: Hevea brasiliensis (rubber tree)
Lineage: Eukaryota; Viridiplantae; Streptophyta; Magnoliopsida; Malpighiales; Euphorbiaceae
Source: RNAcentral